UUUGAUUAUGGCUCAGGAUGAACGCUGGCGGCGUGCUUCACACAUGCAAGUCGAGCGAAGCACUUCGGCGGAAGUUUUCGGAUGGAAGCGGGAGUGACUGAGCGGCGGACGGGUGAGUAACGCGUGGAUAACCUACCUCAUACAGGGGGAUAACAGUUAGAAAUGACUGCUAAUACCGCAUAAGCGCAUGGUUUCGCAUGAAACAGUGUGAAAAACUCCGGCGGUAUGAGAUGGGUCCGCGUUGGAUUAGGCAGUUGGCGGGGUAAAGGCCCACCAAACCGACGAUCCAUAGCCGGCCUGAGAGGGUGAACGGCCACGUUGGGACUGAGACACGGCCCAAACUCCUACGGGAGGCAGCAGUGGGGAAUAUUGCACAAUGGGGGAAACCCUGAUGCAGCGACGCCGCGUGAGUGAAGAAGUAUUUCGGUAUGUAAAGCUCUAUCAGCAGGGAAGAAAAUGACGGUACCUGACUAAGAAGCCCCGGCUAACUACGUGCCAGCAGCCGCGGUAAUACGUAGGGGGCAAGCGUUAUCCGGAUUUACUGGGUGUAAAGGGAGCGUAGACGGCAUUGCAAGUCUGAUGUGAAAGGCGGGGGCUCAACUCCUGGACUGCAUUGGAAACUGUAGUGCUUGAGUGCCGGAGAGGUAAGCGGAAUUCCUAGUGUAGCGGUGAAGUGCGUAGAUAUUAGGAGGAACACCAGUGGCGAAGGCGGCUUACUGGACGGUAACUGACGUUGAGGCUCGAAAGCGUGGGGAGCAAACAGGAUUAGAUACCCUGGUAGUCCACGCCGUAAACGAUGACUACUAGGUGUUGGGGGACACAGUCCUUCGGUGCCGCAGCAAACGCAAUAAGUAGUCCACCUGGGGAGUACGUUCGCAAGAAUGCAACUCAAAUGAAUUGACGGA
This 905-nucleotide ribosomal RNA is filed under the name uncultured Bacillota bacterium. RNAcentral describes it as "bacterial SSU rRNA". It matches the Rfam family "Bacterial small subunit ribosomal RNA", at positions 12 to 917 of the family's 1533-position model. The record is from RNAcentral. Lineage: Bacteria; Bacillati; Bacillota.